AGUAUAAAAAUAAGAAUAUGAUGUUGGUUCAGAUUAAGCGCUAAAUAAGGACAUGACACAUGCGAAUCAUACGUUUAUUAUUGAUAAGAUAAUAAAUAUGUGGUGUAAACGUGAGUAAUUUUAUUAGGAAUAUAUGAACUAUAGAAUAAGUUAAAUACUUAAUAAUAAAUUAUAUAAAAAAGUAAUAAUUAUAUAAUAAUAAAGGAUAUAUAUAUAUAUAUUUAUCUAUAGUCAAGCCAAUAAUGGUUUAGGUAGUAGGUUUAUUAAGAGUUAAACCUAGCCAACGAUCCAUAAUCGUUAAUGAAAGUUAGAACGAUCACGUUGACUCUGAAAUAUAGUCAAUAUCUAUAAGAUACAGCAGUGAGGAAUAUUGGACAAUGAUCGAAAGAUUGAUCCAGUUACUUAUUAGGAUGAUAUAUAAAAAAUUAUAUCUAUAAAAGUAUAUAAAUAAUAUAUAUAUAAAUUGAUUAAAAAUAAAAUCCAUAAAUAAUUAAAAUAAUGAUAUUAAUUACCAUAUAAUAAUAAUAUGGAUAUAUAAUAAUUAUAAUAUUAAUUUAUUAUAAUAAAUUAUAUAUUUUAAUAGUCCUGACUAAUAUUUGUGCCAGCAGUCGCGGUAACACAAAGAGGGCGAGCGUUAAUCAUAAUGGUUUAAAGGAUCCGUAGAAUGAAUUAUAUAAUUUAGAGUUAAUAAAUUUAAUUAAAGAAUUAUAAUAGUAAAGAUGAAAUAAUAAUAAUAAUUAUAAGACUAAUAUAUGUGAAAAUAUUAAUUAAAUAUUAACUGACAUUGAGGGAUUAAAACUAGAGUAGCGAAACGGAUUCGAUACCCGUGUAGUUCUAGUAGUAAACUAUGAAUACAAUUAUUUAUAAUAAAUAUAUAUAUAUAUAAAUAAUAAAUGAAAAUGAAAGUAUUCCACCUGAAGAGUACGUUAGCAAUAAUGAAACUCAAAACAAUAGACGGUUACAGACUUAAGCAGUGGAGCAUGUUAUUUAAUUCGAUAAUCCACGACUAACCUUACCAUAUUUUGAAUAUUAUAAUAAUUAUUAUAAAUUAUUAUAUUACAGGCGUUACAUUGUUGUCUUUAGUUCGUGCUGCAAAGUUUUAGAUUAAGUUCAUAAACGAACAAAACUCCAUAUAUAUAAUCUUAAUUAUAUAUAAUUUUAUAUUAUUUAUUAAUAUAAAGAAAGGAAUUAAGACAAAUCAUAAUGAUCCUUAUAAUAUGGGUAAUAGACGUGCUAUAAUAAAAUGAUAAUAAAAUUAUAUAAAAUAUAUAAAAAAAUAUAUUUAAUUAAUAAUAUAAAACAUUUUAACUUUUAAUAUAUUUUUAUAUUAUAUAUUAAUAUGAAUUAUAAUCUGAAAUUCGAUUAUAUGAAAAAAGAAUUGCUAGUAAUACGUAAAUUAGUAUGUUACGGUGAAUAUUCUAACUGUUUCGCACUAAUCACUCAUCACGCGUUGAAACAUAUUAUUAUCUUAUUAUUUAUUAAUAUUUAUAUAAUUAUAUUAUAUAAUUAAUUAAUAUUUAUUUAUAUCAGAAAUAAUAUGAAUUAAUGCGAAGUUGAAAUACAGUUACCGUAGGGGAACCUGCGGUGGGCUUAUAAAUAUCUUAAAUAUUCUUACA
Molecule: non-coding RNA, 1616 nt
Filed under: Saccharomyces paradoxus
Lineage: Eukaryota; Fungi; Ascomycota; Saccharomycetes; Saccharomycetales; Saccharomycetaceae
Also listed under: 1 other name
Description: small subunit ribosomal RNA
Rfam family: Bacterial small subunit ribosomal RNA
Source: RNAcentral